This 770-nucleotide long non-coding RNA is filed under the name Coffea arabica (coffee). Its description in RNAcentral is "long non-coding RNA (CARA_LNC008315)". The record is from RNAcentral. Lineage: Eukaryota; Viridiplantae; Streptophyta; Magnoliopsida; Gentianales; Rubiaceae.
UAUUCAGCCCACCAGAGUCUAUUUAUAAAAGAGGAGUUCAUACAAAAAAACGAACUGGUCCUACUCAGUUCGGUCUUACAAGUUACUCAAGCAAGGGCCGCAAUCGUGGAAUCAUGGGUCUUACACCGAACUGACUCUUCGCCAAAAAACUUGGUCUAAACUCAUGCGACUUUUCGAUGACUCUAGACUCAAAGGGGGGCUAGUGUAGUGGGGCAAAUUUCCCAGUAGCCACGUGUCAGUUCGGAUAUGAUGACCUAUCAGUUCGACCAACUAAUCUACGGAUGCCACAUGUCAGCUCGGAUAUUGUGAUAUGACAGCUCGGACAGAGCAGCUCGGAGAAGAGGGAGGUCAGCUCGGCUGCAGCCGCCGCCUCUCCAUGAAGUGGGCCUGAUGGGCCGCCGCCUCCGGAUCUUCAGGGGUGGUUGUAUGAAACCCUAGAAAGACUCCGAACCCUAAGGGGACUUUGACUCCUAUAUGGAAACUACCACCCAUUAAGCCUAUAUAUACAGCACCACAAGACGACACAAGGUAUGACAUCCACAGUUCUCUCUACUGUUGCUCUACUCUUGAGCUCUACUGACUUGGCCGUCGGAGCUAUUCCGGGGACUCUAGUCCCUCCGUUUAUUUCCCUCUCUGCAGGACAGGUCGUCCGUUCUCUCCCCGUCAAUUCGGCCUAUCAGCUCGGCCACUCUCUGUUAGCCCCACCGUCUGUCCAUUUGCAGGUCGGCUCGUUCACCUGACCAGCUCGCCAGCUCGCUCCCUCUCAACUC